AUCCUCCUCGUGUCUCCCUUUUCCCUUUGAGAAUAGGAGUUGAUUGCGGGGCGGAGAAUGGUCUACCGUGCGCUUGCGCUCGGAUGGCCCAAAUUGGACCCUCGGCGACAAACGCCACGACCAUAGGUGGUUGUUCAUUUGUUCAGCUCACGUGCGGUCGUGCCCUGCGUCAUUUCCGUCAAGGGUGUAUUUAGGACCUACGGCGUUGCGCGCCCGCAUCU
Molecule: unclassified non-coding RNA, 221 nt
Filed under: Pinguicula crystallina
Lineage: Eukaryota; Viridiplantae; Streptophyta; Magnoliopsida; Lamiales; Lentibulariaceae
Description: ITS2
Source: RNAcentral